AUUGAACGCUGGCGGCAUGCCUAACACAUGCAAGUCGAACGGCAGCACGGGGGCGUGCACCGGUUCGCGAGUGGCGAACGGGCGAGUAAGACAUCGGAACAUGUCCUGCAGUGGGGGGGAGCCUGGCGAAAGACGGGGUAAUACCGACUGCGUACUACGGCUGAAAGCGGGGGACGGACGUGCCGGGCGCUAGAGGGUGGGCGGAGGGCUGAUUAGCUAGUUGGUGGGGUAAGGGCCUACCAAGGCGACGAUCAGUAGCUGGUCUGAGAGGACGACCAGCCACACUGGGACUGAGACACGGCCCAGACUCCUACGGGAGGCAGCAGUGGGGAAUUUUGGACAAUGGGCGAAAGCCUGAUCCAGCAAUGCCGCGUGUGUGAAGAAGGCCUUCGGGUUGUAAAGCACUUUUGUCCGGAAAGAAAUCCUUGGCCCUAAUACGGUCGGGGGAUGACGGUACCGGAAGAAUAAGCACCGGCUAACUACGUG
Molecule: ribosomal RNA, 486 nt
Filed under: uncultured bacterium
Lineage: Bacteria
Description: partial 16S ribosomal RNA
Rfam family: Bacterial small subunit ribosomal RNA
Source: RNAcentral